AAAUGGCAAAACAGAGGAAACUCUGCGGCGCAAAGCUAUAGGAUCUAAACGAUUGUCCAGCAAUCGCAUGACAGCCAGUUACCU
Molecule: non-coding RNA, 84 nt
Filed under: uncultured Agathobaculum sp.
Lineage: Bacteria; Bacillati; Bacillota; Clostridia; Eubacteriales; Butyricicoccaceae
Description: Cyclic di-GMP-I riboswitch
Rfam family: c-di-GMP-I riboswitch aptamer
About the family: GEMM was predicted in a large-scale screen for bacterial structured RNA regulatory elements.
Source: RNAcentral